RNAcentral lists this ribosomal RNA (492 nucleotides) under uncultured bacterium. RNAcentral's name for it is "partial 16S ribosomal RNA". It matches the Rfam family "Bacterial small subunit ribosomal RNA", at positions 29 to 507 of the family's 1533-position model. The record is from RNAcentral.
AGUGGACGCUGGCGGUAGGCCUAACACAUGCAAGUCGAACGGCAGCACAGUAAGAGCUUGCUCUUACGGGUGGCGAGUGGCGGACGGGUGAGGAAUACAUCGGAAUCUACUUUUUCGUGGGGGAUAACGUAGGGAAACUUACGCUAAUACCGCAUACGUCCUACGGGUGAAAGCAGGGGAUCUUCGGACCUUGCGCGAUUGAAUGAGCCGAUGUCGGAUUAGCUUGUUGGCGGGGUAAAGGCCCACCAAGGCGACGAUCCGUAGCUGGUCUGAGAGGAUGAUCAGCCACACUGGAACUGAGACACGGUCCAGACUCCUACGGGAGGCAGCAGUGGGGAAUAUUGGACAAUGGGCGCAAGCCUGAUCCAGCCAUACCGCGUGGGUGAAGAAGGCCUUCGGGUUGUAAAGCCCUUUUGUUGGGAAAGAAAAGCAGCAGGUUAAUACCCCGCUGUUCUGACGGUACCCAAAGAAUAAGCACCGGCUAACUUCGUG